Molecule: small nucleolar RNA, 83 nt
Filed under: Sugiyamaella lignohabitans
Lineage: Eukaryota; Fungi; Ascomycota; Dipodascomycetes; Dipodascales; Trichomonascaceae
Source: RNAcentral
UAUCAUGAUGACUAUACAAAAACAAAGCUGGAAUUACUGGCAGAAUUAUACUGUUGAAAAGUUUUUGCACCUCGAGACUGAUA